This 4746-nucleotide ribosomal RNA is filed under the name Triticum aestivum (bread wheat). Its description in RNAcentral is "partial small subunit ribosomal RNA". Lineage: Eukaryota; Viridiplantae; Streptophyta; Magnoliopsida; Poales; Poaceae. The record is from RNAcentral.
AUGCUGUCCGUGCGGAGGCGGCAGGAGGAUGCUGGCGGCGCCGCCGGCAUGGCGGACCACGCCGAGCUGGAGGAGGGGGAGGCCUACGCCGACGACAUGCCCCCCUUCGACGACCCGGACGUCUCCCUCGCUUACAUUGAUGAAAAACUACAAAAUGUACUAGGCCAUUUUCAAAAGGACUUUGAAGGAGGCGUUUCUGCAGAGAAUCUAGGAUCAAAAUUUGGUGGAUAUGGCUCAUUUUUGCCAACCUACCAGCGUUCCCCCCUUCUGCCCCACACUAGAACUCCACCUAAGGUGGCAAAUGCUAGCUCAAGAUCUCCUUAUCACCAGUCUACUGAGGAUGUGUGUCAGAACCCUCCGGCUAUGGCCGUUCCAUCUGUUUCCCAGAAUAAUGGUUCUGUGGCUCCUUUUUCUGGUGAUUCAAUUAAAAAGGAAAGAUGCGAAAGCACAGCGUCUAAAAGGGGCUCUAGCACCCAUGAUCCUUCAAAUGGCCCAUCUAAGUCUAGCGACCAGAAUAGAUUUAAAGUACGGAUAAAAGUUGGUUCCGACAAUGUCUUGGCAAGAAAUAAUGCAGCUAUUUACAGUGGUUUGGGCCUUGACAUUUCUUCACCUUCAUCCGUGGAGGAAAGCCCUGAUGGCCACGGGGGCCUCUCACCCGAAUUUAGCAAUGUGCAACUUGAAUCUCCCCGGACCAUUCUUCAGAUCAUGACAUGCUUUUCAGUUCCUGGAGGGUACUUGUUAUCCCCUCUUCAUGGCAGUUUGUUGCAACUGACAAAGAAGGUUGUGCCUUCAUUGAAGAAAUGGGAAACAAGCUUGGAGAUAGAAAAUGCACAGGAAGCAUAUGGAGGGCAUGUGGUUAAGAAAAUGAAGUCUGAUGGUAAGAAAAAGAAACCCACAGAUAUGAAGAGGUCAAGUAAUAGAAACGAUGUCAGUGCAUUUAUGAAAAAUGAGAUCGAUGUAGAAACACUUGCUGGCCAGAAGAUUGCAUCAGAAGCUCUCAGCAUACCGUCUAGUCCCAGAGGCAUGGAUGCAAACAGCAAUUGUCAAUUUGAAGAAGAAGCAACAGGAAAAUCUUUGGAAAGAAACAAAGAUGAUCGAUUGAAAGAAUGGGCUGUAAACAGCAACAGCAAGACAAUCACAGCUGAAACUGCCAAAGAGGAGACUACCGACUGUUUAGCAAGUGGUGGUUUUGGCAGCUCAGAAUUGGAACUUUCAGCAGCAAAGAGGGAGCUGAAACCUGUGACAGAAAAGACAGCGUUGACUUUAGAAGAGAUGAAUACAACCAGUGACACAGAUUUUCUGUUGGAUAGGAAACAUGAAAGAAAAAUAAAGCCUGAGAGUAAAAUCAAUCCUUCUGUCAUUAACUUUGAAGAAAACGCAGUUAUAGAUGAAAAAGCUCCUGCUGUUUGCAGAAGCAUGGAGAAGGUUACUAGCAAAGAGGCUUCACUUUAUGAUACAAAUGUGAAAAGUAACACCAAGAGUGAGGCCAAAAGAAUUCACAGGGAACAAAAGAAGAAUGCUCCAACAUCUUCUGAUCUUCUGGAUGUUGACAAGGGUGCUCGUUCUUCUGCUGGAGUUAAAGAGAGGAAAAACGAUUCUCACUCCAAAUCUAGCCACUCCGGGAAGAAACCCAAAGCAAAACCACAUAGAGAUGUCAGGGACAGUUUGCCUGACGGAUCCCAUGGAUCCAAAGAGCAGGAUAUAUUGGAGAAUGGGGUUGGAUUGGGAGAGUUGCAGCCAAAGGAAAAAUAUUGGAUCAAAAGGGAUUCUGAUAUGCUUGGGGCAUCAAAGAGGGAGAUUUCAUCUAGUGCAAAGCAUGACAGACAUAUAGCUUCUGAGGAGCAGAAGAUGCAUGUACCUCCAUCUUCUGUAUCGACUGCAAAUGCAGCUCCUGCACUUCAAGCACCUGUCGUGAUAGAGGAACAUUGGGUACAAUGUGACAUAUGUCAGAAAUGGCGUCUCCUACCAUAUGAGUCGGAUCCUGAUACUCUUCCAAAGGAAUGGAAAUGUAGCAUGCAACUGUGGCUGCCUGGGAUGAAUAGGUGCGAUGUUGGUGAGGAGGAGACUACAAAUGCUCUGAAUGCACUAUAUGUCAUUCCACCCCCUGCCAACGGUAUUCCUUCAGUUGGUCAUCCUCAUGCUGCUUCUUCUGGACUGGCAACAGCCAACACGUUCAGUAUAAAUGGACAUGCUGAACAGAGUAGGAAAAGGAAGAGUUUUCCAGGUGAUGGAAGUGCUUUGGUUGACAGUUCUCACCCAACACAAGCUUCAGCUUAUUCAACGAUCACCCAACCCCCUCCUAGAGUUAGAAGUACUGCUGAUACUAAUCACUAUCCUUCCGAGAGAGAUUCUGUGAGCAAAUCAGUUGACGUUUCCACUGAAAAGAAGAAGUCCAAGAGCAAGAAUCGUGGCAGCUAUUCUGAUGGAGGAGAUCUUGUGGAAAGAUCCAAGAAGCAUUCAAAAGGAAAAGGCAAGAGGGAGAUGGAUUAUGGUGAAUACAAAGCUUCUAAGAAAAUUAAAAAGGAGGAGCGGCAUCGUUCUAGCAGAGACCGGAACCCUGAAUGUGAUUUAGCUAGUGGAGACGUUCCUGAUGAGGCCAAGGCUUUUCUUGCAAAGGCAAAGAGUUUGGGUGAGAAGGGUGAUAUUUCUUCAUUGAAGCAAAAAAGUGUUGCGAGGUCUGAUCGUUUGGAGAAGUCCAAGAGAGACAAGGAUGAGGAUAUAGCUCUUCCUGAAGAUAGGGACAAGGAACAAUACCAAACCUCAGAUGUACAGAGAUCAGACGUUUCUAGCAAGAAGAGGAUAGUGAAGGAAUGGGAGGAGAGUCAGCAUAGUUCAAUAGCUCAGGUGAGCAGAGGAACCACAGUGAAUCACAGCUCUGCUGCCAAGGAAACUCAUAAGGAUCAAAACUUAAAGGAAACAAAGUCCAAGCCAAUAAAGUCUGAAGAACUGUAUUCCACGACGGAUUCUAAAUUAGGAAAAGGUCUGCACUCUAAUCAGAUUUCUUCUUAUUAUGGUGGUCAUGUAAACAAUGAACUUGUGGAGGAUAGCACACACUUUGCUGGUAAAAGAGGUCCAUCCGAAGUAUUAGAUAAGCGAUCUUCUGAACAUGCUUUGGACUUAGCUGGAGCUGCUUCUAGUGAUGUUCCGACCACAGCCAUAGCUUCAAGUUCUUCAAAAGCUUCAGGCUCUCAGAAAAAGAAAAAUAACUCCCAAGUUGCAAAGACUUCACCGAUUGAAUCAGUUUCCUCAUCACCACCGAGGAACUCUAACAUUGAUAAGUUCUCCCAGAACAGAAUAGUGGAGAAAGAUGGGCCUAUGAAUGCUAACCCAGGCACCAUGCCGAGCUCAGUAAAGUAUCUCAAUACUGAAGUUGAUAUAGUAGACAAUGUUCGGCAGGCUAAGAAGUCCAAGGAGAGUUUGCUUGCAAGUGAACCUGUCUUACAUGGCUCUUCACAAGGAAAUUCUGACAAAGAUGAUGAAUUAGUUCAGUUAACUCAAGGCCAUGCAUCCGAAAGGUUUUCAUUGAGAAAGGGUUUGGAUGAUGAUCAGCAGCAUGCAUCUGGGAGAAAGGACUCCACUGUGAAUGGCUCCAGCACAGCGAGGGGUUAUAACCACCUGCAUUCUGGUGAUAAAAAUAACUUGCGCACUGAUGGCUCUUUAGUGCAACCUAGGACUGCAGCUUCGGGCUUGAAAGGAGAUUUGAUUGCGAGUGAAAGUAAGAAAACUGCAGCUCCUAUCCAAGAUAGAAAUGGAUUAACUCAUUGUGCUCUGGAUGGAAAUCCUAAACCAGAGGUGCCAUCUGGAAAAGAUAAAUCUUAUCCCAAGAGUAACAAGCAAGAUAUGGAGAAGCCCAAAGCCCAAAUUGCCCCUUCGCCUCUGAAAGAAACCCACUCCACUCCAGUAAAAUCUAAUGCGUCAAAAUUGACACCACAGUCAAGGCGAAGCAGUGAUGAAAAUGGAGGGCAACAGCGUGUUGCCAAACAGGGAACUUCAAAUCCUACGGAAGGGAAAGAUAGUAAUUCAACUGCAUAUGCUCUCAAAGAAGCUCGAGAUUUAAAGCACAAGGCGAACCGUUUGAAGAAAGAAGGAAAAGAACUUGAAAGCACAAGGCUCUAUUUUGAGGCAGCCUUAAAAUUUCUGCAUGUAGCAUCACUUCUGGAACCUCCUGGUAUUGAUGGUCUGAAACAAGGUGAUGCAGCUCAGAGCAUGUAUUCUGAUACUGCAAAACUCUGCAACUUUGUUGGUCAUGAAUAUGAAAGGUGCAAGAAGAUGGCCGCUGCUGCUUUAGCAUAUAAAUGUGUUGAAGUAGCUUAUCUCAAGGCUGCAUACUACAAAUACCCUAUUGCAAGUAAGGACCGGCAGGUGUUGCAGGCAGUUGUACAGACUACACCAGGCGAAUCACCAUCAUCUUCAGCAUCAGACAUCGAUAACUUAAAUAACAAUGGAUUAUCUAAGAUGGCCCCUUCAAACAAGGAUGCUAAUUCACCCCAAGUUGCUGGGAACCAUUUAUUACUGGCCGUUCGCAAUCAACCACACCUGACAAGGUUACUAGCUUAUACAAAUGAUGUCAAUUCUGCCUUUGAGGCAACUCGGAAAUCACAGAUGGCAAUUGCUUCUGCUGCUGGCAACCAUGAAAAGGGAGUGGAUGGUCUUUCUUCAGUAAAAACAGUUCUGGAUUUCAACUUCAGAAGCGUGAAUGAUCUACUCAGACUUGUGCGGAUUUCAAUGGAGUCUAUCAGCUGCUGA